GGUCUGUAGCUCAGUUGGUAGAGCACUCGUCUAGCAUGCGUGAGGCACUGGGUUUGAGCCCCAGCACCA
RNAcentral lists this transfer RNA (69 nucleotides) under Marmota monax (woodchuck). Its description in RNAcentral is "tRNA.Ala". The stretch from base 5 to 66 matches the Rfam family "tRNA", at positions 6 to 65 of the family's 71-position model. Rfam says of the family: Transfer RNA (tRNA) molecules are approximately 80 nucleotides in length. Their secondary structure includes four short double-helical elements and three loops (D, anti-codon, and T loops). The record is from RNAcentral. Lineage: Eukaryota; Metazoa; Chordata; Mammalia; Rodentia; Sciuridae.